AAGUCGUAACAAGGUCUCCGUAGGUGAACCUGCGGAGGGAUCAUUAACACGUUUUUAACUAAACAAACCAAAACUUUACUGUGAACCGAAAACAAAACUUUUUUUUUAACACCCAAUAAACAACAAGCCAUGAACAGCACACUGUCGGUCUUCGGACUGUUCAGAUAGUUGUACUAAUCAACCAAAACCUUGAGAUUUCUGUACAGCUUAAUCGCGUAUAAAGUCUGAUGGUUUAUAUCUAAAACUAAAAGAACAACUCUUAGCAAUGGAUAUCUUGGUUCUC
This is an unclassified non-coding RNA of 283 nucleotides. The stretch from base 1 to 46 matches the Rfam family "Eukaryotic small subunit ribosomal RNA", at positions 1786 to 1831 of the family's 1831-position model.